UUGUUUGGGUUUACGCAUCUCAAGAAUGAAAAACAAGAGAUAUAUUCUGUUGAGGAUUAUUUCGAAUAAGAAGCGAAGGAGAUUGUGAAACUAGAAGAUGAUGAGAUAGCUACAAUGCUUUAUCAAAUACAGCAAACCAAUAAAUGUUUGGUUGUACUUGAUGACAUUCGGAAUAUUGAUGCCCGGAGAAGUUUUAGUGCCGGUUAUCCUCUUUAUAUUCAGGUAGCAAGAUACUACUAACCACUCGUAUCAAAGAAGUGGCCUUUUGUGUAGAUCCCAGAGGUUUCGUCCAUAAAGUCCCUUGUGUCUAAACUUUAAAGAGAGCUGGGAAUUGUUUGGAAAGAAAGUCUGAAGGACUGAUGGAACAGUUUUGGAUGUCUUACAGGCUACAGAACUGAUAUUUGCUUGGAAAAACUAGGGAAGGAAAUGGUAGGAGAAUGUAAUGGUUUACAAAUUGGCCAUAAUUGUGCUUGGA
Molecule: long non-coding RNA, 475 nt
Organism: Ricinus communis (castor bean)
Lineage: Eukaryota; Viridiplantae; Streptophyta; Magnoliopsida; Malpighiales; Euphorbiaceae
Exons: 2
Source: RefSeq, a predicted model, not a curated record